CACACCGUAAAUGAUGCUCGCUAGGUGUAUAUUUCGCAUUGCGGAAUGUGUGCCGUAAGCUAACGCGUUAAGCGAGCCGCCUGAGUAGUAUAGUCGCAAGGCUGAAACUCAAAGGGAUAGGCGGGGGAACACACAAGCAGAGGAUUGUCUCGAUUAAUUGGAUAAUAAGCCAAGAAUCUUACCCCGGUUUGACAUCCUUCAAAUUCUGCAGAAACGUAGAAGUGCUCGGUUCGCCGAGAAUGAAGUGACAGGUGC
Molecule: ribosomal RNA, 255 nt
Filed under: uncultured bacterium
Lineage: Bacteria
Description: partial 16S ribosomal RNA
Rfam family: Bacterial small subunit ribosomal RNA
Source: RNAcentral